CACUCCUACGGGAGGCAGCAGUGGGGAAUUUUGGACAAUGGGCGAAAGCCUGAUCCAGCAAUGCCGCGUGAGUGAAGAAGGCCUUCGGGUUGUAAAGCUCUUUUGUCAGGGAAGAAACGGUGAAAGCUAAUAUCUUUUGCUAAUGACGGUACCUGAAGAAUAAGCACCGGCUAACUACGUGCCAGCAGCCGCGGUAAUACGUAGGGUGCAAGCGUUAAUCGGAAUUACUGGGCGUAAAGCGUGCGCAGGCGGUUUUGUAAGUCUGAUGUGAAAUCCCCGGGCUCAACCUGGGAAUUGCAUUGGAGACUGCAAGGCUAGAAUCUGGCAGAGGGGGGUAGAAUUCCACGUGUAGCAGUGAAAUGCGUAGAUAUGUGGAGGAACACCGAUGGCGAAGGCAGCCCCCUGGGUCAAGAUUGACGCUCAUGCACGAAAGCGUGGGGAGCAAACAGGAUUAGAUACCCCUGUAGUCCCAUGA
Molecule: ribosomal RNA, 475 nt
Filed under: uncultured organism
Description: partial 16S ribosomal RNA
Rfam family: Bacterial small subunit ribosomal RNA
Source: RNAcentral